This 253-nucleotide ribosomal RNA is filed under the name uncultured bacterium. RNAcentral's name for it is "partial 16S ribosomal RNA". It matches the Rfam family "Bacterial small subunit ribosomal RNA", at positions 524 to 776 of the family's 1533-position model. The record is from RNAcentral.
UACGGAGGGUGCAAGCAUUAAUCGGAUUUAUUGGGCGUAAAGGGCGCGUAGGCGGAAUGAUCAGUCAGAUGUGAAAUCCCGGGGCUCAACCUCGGAACAGCAUUUGAAACUGUCACUCUAGAGGAUAGAAGGAGAAAACGGAAUUCCACAAGUAGCGGUGAAAUGCGUAGAUAUGUGGAAGAACACCGGUGGCGAAGGCGGUUUUCUAUUUUAGACCUGACGCUGAGGCGCGAAAGCAAGGGGAUCAAACAGG